AAUAGAUACCCCGGUAGUCCACGCCGUAAACGAUGGGCACUAGGUGUAGGGGGUGUCGACUCCCCCUGUGCCGAAGCUAACGCAUUAAGUGCCCCGCCUGGGGAGUACGGCCGCAAGGCUAAAACUCAAAGGAAUUGACGGGGGGCCCGCACAAGCAGCGGAGCAUGUGGUUUAAUUGGACGCAACGCCAAGAACCUUACCCGGGCUUGACAUGUUCCUGACCGGCCUGGAAACAGGUCUUCCCUUCGGGGCAGGAUCACAGGUGGUGCAUGGCUGUCGUCAGCUCGUGUCGUGAGAUGUUGGGUUAAGUCCCGCAACGAGCGCAACCCCCGUCGCAUGUUGCCAGCAUUAAGUUGGGGACUCAUGCGAGACUGCCGGUGACAAACCGGAGGAAGGUGGGGAUGACGUCAAGUCAUCAUGCCCCUUAUGUCCGGGGCUACACACGUGCUACAUUGGCGCGUACAGAGGCUGCGAUACCGCGAGGUGAGCGAAUCCGUAAAGCGCGUCUCGGUUCGGAUUGCAGGCUGAAACUCG
Molecule: ribosomal RNA, 534 nt
Filed under: uncultured bacterium
Lineage: Bacteria
Description: bacterial SSU rRNA
Rfam family: Bacterial small subunit ribosomal RNA
Source: RNAcentral